UAUCCAAUAAUGUAUUAAUAU
RNAcentral lists this microRNA (21 nucleotides) under Schistosoma mansoni. RNAcentral describes it as "sma-miR-8468-5p". Lineage: Eukaryota; Metazoa; Platyhelminthes; Trematoda; Strigeidida; Schistosomatidae. The record is from miRBase by way of RNAcentral.